RNAcentral lists this ribosomal RNA (1298 nucleotides) under metagenome. Its description in RNAcentral is "bacterial LSU rRNA". It matches the Rfam family "Bacterial large subunit ribosomal RNA", at positions 1635 to 2925 of the family's 2925-position model. The record is from RNAcentral.
UACACGACCGUACCGCAAACCGACACUGGUGCGCGAGAUGAGUAUUCUAAGGCGCUUGAGAGAACUCAGGAGAAGGAACUCGGCAAAUUUACACCGUAACUUCGGAAGAGGUGUGCCUUUAGUAGGUGAACCUGUACAAGGGGAGCCCAAUGAGGUUGCAAAAAAUCGGUGGCUGCGACUGUUUAAUAAAAACACAGCACUCUGCAAACACGAAAGUGGACGUAUAGGGUGUGACGCCUGCCCGGUGCUGGAAGAUUAAAUGAUGGGGUGCAAGCUCUUGAUUGAAGUCCCAGUAAACGGCGGCCGUAACUAUAACGGUCCUAAGGUAGCGAAAUUCCUUGUCGGGUAAGUUCCGACCUGCACGAAUGGCGUAACGAUGGCCACACUGUCUCCUCCUGAGACUCAGCGAAGUUGAAAUGUUUGUGAUGAUGCAAUCUCCCCGCGGAAAGACGGAAAGACCCCAUGAACCUUUACUGUAGCUUUGUAUUGGACUUUGAACAGAUCUGUGUAGGAUAGGUGGGAGGCUUUGAAGUGUGGUCGCUAGAUCGCAUGGAGCCAACGUUGAAAUACCACCCUGGUGUGUUUGAGGUUCUAACCUAGGCCCGUAAUCCGGGUCGGGGACAGUGCAUGGUAGGCAGUUUGACUGGGGCGGUCUCCUCCCAAAGCGUAACGGAGGAGUUCGAAGGUACGCUAGGUACGGUCGGACAUCGUGCUAAUAGUGCAAUGGCAUAAGCGUGCUUAACUGCGAGACUGACAAGUCGAGCAGAUGCGAAAGCAGGACAUAGUGAUCCGGUGGUUCUGUAUGGAAGGGCCAUCGCUCAACGGAUAAAAGGUACUCUGGGGAUAACAGGCUGAUACCGCCCAAGAGUUCAUAUCGACGGCGGUGUUUGGCACCUCGAUGUCGGCUCAUCUCAUCCUGGGGCUGUAGCCGGUCCCAAGGGUAUGGCUGUUCGCCAUUUAAAGAGGUACGUGAGCUGGGUUUAAAACGUCGUGAGACAGUUUGGUCCCUAUCUUCCGUGGGCGCUGCAGAUUUGAGGAAGCCUGCUCCUAGUACGAGAGGACCGGAGUGGACACACCUCUGGUGUAUCGGUUGUCACGCCAGUGGCAUUGCCGAGUAGCUAUGUGUGGAAGAGAUAACCGCUGAAAGCAUCUAAGCGGGAAACUCGUUUCAAGAUGAGAUCUGCCGGGGCCUUGAGCCCCCUAAAGAGUCGUUCAAGACCAGGACGUUGAUAGGUCGGGUGUGGAAGCGCAGUAAUGCGUUAAGCUAACCGAUACUAAUUGCUCGUGCGGCUUGACCU